CGGGCGGUAGGAUAAAGGCUAUUCCGCGUGGUUCGGGACCACGAGACUGCGGGUUCAAUUCCCGCCCGCCCGA
RNAcentral lists this transfer RNA (73 nucleotides) under Treponema sp. RNAcentral's name for it is "tRNA-Pro". It matches the Rfam family "tRNA". From Rfam's summary of the family: Transfer RNA (tRNA) molecules are approximately 80 nucleotides in length. Their secondary structure includes four short double-helical elements and three loops (D, anti-codon, and T loops). The record is from RNAcentral. Lineage: Bacteria; Pseudomonadati; Spirochaetota; Spirochaetia; Treponematales; Treponemataceae.